Mustela erminea (ermine) is the source of this 786-nucleotide long non-coding RNA. RefSeq lists it as uncharacterized. The record is from RefSeq and is a predicted model, not a curated record. Lineage: Eukaryota; Metazoa; Chordata; Mammalia; Carnivora; Mustelidae. The transcript is spliced from 4 exons.
GAGCCAUUCUCUCCCUGUCCACGCCAGGAGAGCUCCUCACGUGGUCUUCUCCAGACAAGAGCUUUGUCCUUCACGUUGAAUGUGAUGCUGGAAAGGAGGCAGGAGGUCUGGGAAAAGACUUGUUAGAAAAUAGCCAGGGGAAGAAAAGGGCAGGUGUGCAUGUCCCCCUGUUGGCUGUCUGUCGCAUGAGGCUCACGUGCUCAUAGUGGAGAAGCCAGUGGAUCCGAAGCCACCCCUACCCUUGAGAGCCCACGCUGGGAGCCUGUGAGGACACUGCCUGGCUCUCUGGAGUGCCUGUCCAUGGUGAAGCCUCCUUGGGAGCCAUACAGCUGCAGGGAAUGCUGUGUACAGCUCUGAGAGCCGUGGCCAGGACUACAAGGAGUGAUGUGUUGAAGCCCCAAGCUUCAGGGCCCCUCAGACGCUGCAGUGCUCAGAAGGGCCCUUCCUGCCGCCGCCUCUCCAUCUCCUUCCCAUGAACGGUGAGGGCUCGUGUUUGCUCUGGGAGAGUUUCCCGGGAGCCGAUGGGGUUCUAGGCCCGUGACGCGUGGGCUUCCAGGAGCGCAGCUGACCCAUCCCUGCGGCAAAUGAUCACCGUCUCCUGCCGUGGGAACGGGAGGGGUGCGUGCCGCAGCCAGACCCCACUUCUGUUCUCCGGGAGCCGAUGGCUUUGCUGGGGGGCUCUUGGGGACCACUUGGGACCUUCCAAAUGUUGGCUGAGCAGGGUCUGGAGAAUCUACCGGGGAGCCCACUGACCUUCGGGCCGUAGCACGGACCGGGCCUUCUUCC